Molecule: ribosomal RNA, 521 nt
Filed under: uncultured Geomyces
Lineage: Eukaryota; Fungi; Ascomycota; Leotiomycetes; Myxotrichaceae
Description: eukaryotic LSU rRNA
Rfam family: Eukaryotic large subunit ribosomal RNA
Source: RNAcentral
CGGCGAGUGAAGCGGUAACAGCUCAAAUUUGAAAUCUGGCCUCACGGUCCGAGUUGUAAUUUGUAGAGGAUGCUUCGAGCAUGGUCUGGCCUAAGUUCCUUGGAACAGGACGUCAUAGAGGGUGAGAAUCCCGUAUGCGGCCAGGUGCCUACGCUCAUGUGAAGCUCCUUCGACGAGUCGAGUUGUUUGGGAAUGCAGCUCAAAAUGGGUGGUAAAUUUCAUCUAAAGCUAAAUAUUGGCCAGAGACCGAUAGCGCACAAGUAGAGUGAUCGAAAGAUGAAAAGCACUUUGGAGAGAGAGUUAAACAGUACGUGAAAUUGUUGAAAGGGAAGCGCUUGCAACCAGACUUGCGCGCGGCCGAUCAUCCGGUGUUCUCACCGGUGCACUCGGCCGUGCUCAGGCCAGCAUCGGUUUUGGCGGCUGGAUAAAGGCCCUAGGAAUGUAGCUCCUCUCGGGGAGUGUUAUAGCCUAGGGUGCAAUGCAGCCUGCUGGGACCGAGGACCGCGCUUCGGCUAGGAUGC